Molecule: ribosomal RNA, 254 nt
Filed under: uncultured bacterium
Lineage: Bacteria
Description: partial 16S ribosomal RNA
Rfam family: Bacterial small subunit ribosomal RNA
Source: RNAcentral
UACGUAGGGUGCAAGCGUUGUCCGGAAUUAUUGGGCGUAAAGAGCUCGUAGGCGGUGUGUCGCGUCGGCCGUGAAAACCUGCAGCUUAACUGUGGGCUUGCGGUCGAUACGGGCAUCACUGGAGUUCGGCAGGGGAGACUGGAAUUCCUGGUGUAGCGGUGAAAUGCGCAGAUAUCAGGAGGAACACCGGUGGCGAAGGCGGGUCUCUGGGCCGAUACUGACGCUGAGGAGCGAAAGCGUGGGGAGCGAACAGG